This 77-nucleotide transfer RNA is filed under the name Desulfuromusa kysingii. RNAcentral describes it as "tRNA_Asp_GTC". It matches the Rfam family "tRNA". From Rfam's summary of the family: Transfer RNA (tRNA) molecules are approximately 80 nucleotides in length. Their secondary structure includes four short double-helical elements and three loops (D, anti-codon, and T loops). Further hydrogen bonds mediate the characteristic L-shaped molecular structure. tRNAs have two regions of fundamental functional importance: the anti-codon, which is responsible for specific mRNA codon recognition, and the 3' end, to which the tRNAs corresponding amino acid is attached (by aminoacyl-tRNA synthetases). tRNAs cope with the degeneracy of the genetic code in two manners: having more than one tRNA (with a specific anti-codon) for a particular amino acid; and 'wobble' base-pairing, i.e. permitting non-standard base-pairing at the 3rd anti-codon position. RNAcentral also lists the same sequence under 3 other names. Lineage: Bacteria; Pseudomonadati; Thermodesulfobacteriota; Desulfuromonadia; Desulfuromonadales; Geopsychrobacteraceae. The record is from RNAcentral.
GGGGAUGUAGCUCAGUUGGUUAGAGUGCCUGCCUGUCACGCAGGAUGUCGCGAGUUCAAGUCUCGUCAUUCCCGCCA